Molecule: ribosomal RNA, 313 nt
Filed under: Enterococcus faecalis
Lineage: Bacteria; Bacillati; Bacillota; Bacilli; Lactobacillales; Enterococcaceae
Description: bacterial LSU rRNA
Rfam family: Bacterial large subunit ribosomal RNA
Source: RNAcentral
UGUGCUGUGAGGCAUGCUGGAGGUAUCAGAAGUGCGAAUGCUGACAUAAGUAACGAUAAAGCGGGUGAAAAGCCCGCUCGCCGGAAGACCAAGGGUUCCUGUCCAACGUUAAUCGGGGCAGGGUGAGUCGACCCCUAAGGCGAGGCCGAAAGGCGUAGUCGAUGGGAAACAGGUUAAUAUUCCUGUACUUGGUGUUACUGCGAAGGGGGGACGGAGAAGGCUAUGUUGGCCGGGCGACGGUUGUCCCGGUUUAAGCGUGUAGGCUGGUUUUCCAGGCAAAUCCGGAAAAUCAAGGCUGAGGCGUGAUGACGAG